AUCGUACUCCCUCCAUUCCGAAUUACUUGUCGCACGUAUGGAUGUAUCUAGAUGUAUUUUAGUUCUAGAUAUAUCCACUUCAGCGACGAGUAAUUUGGGAAGGAGGGAGUACUUC
Molecule: non-coding RNA, 115 nt
Organism: Triticum aestivum (bread wheat)
Lineage: Eukaryota; Viridiplantae; Streptophyta; Magnoliopsida; Poales; Poaceae
Source: Rfam